AUUGAACGCUGGCGGCAGGCCUAACACAUGCAAGUCGAGCGGUAGCACAGAGAGCUUGCUCUCGGGUGACGAGCGGCGGACGGGUGAGUAAUGUCUGGGAAACUGCCUGAUGGAGGGGGAUAACUACUGGAAACGGUAGCUAAUACCGCAUAACGUCGCAAGACCAAAGUGGGGGACCUUCGGGCCUCAUGCCAUCAGAUGUGCCCAGAUGGGAUUAGCUAGUAGGUGGGGUAAUGGCUCACCUAGGCGACGAUCCCUAGCUGGUCUGAGAGGAUGACCAGCCACACUGGAACUGAGACACGGUCCAGACUCCUACGGGAGGCAGCAGUGGGGAAUAUUGCACAAUGGGCGCAAGCCUGAUGCAGCCAUGCCGCGUGUGUGAAGAAGGCCUUCGGGUUGUAAAGCACUUUCAGCGGGGAGGAAGGCGGUGAGGUUAAUAACCUCACCGAUUGACGUUACCCGCAGAAGAAGCACCGGCUAACUCCGUGCCAGCAGCCGCGGUAAUACGGAGGGUGCAAGCGUUAAUCGGAAUUACUGGGCGUAAAGCGCACGCAGGCGGUCUGUCAAGUCGGAUGUGAAAUCCCCGGGCUCAACCUGGGAACUGCAUUCGAAACUGGCAGGCUAGAGUCUUGUAGAGGGGGGUAGAAUUCCAGGUGUAGCGGUGAAAUGCGUAGAGGUCUGGAGGAAUACCGGUGGCGAAGGCGGCCCCCUGGACAAAGACUGACGCUCAGGUGCGAAAGCGUGGGGAGCAAACAGGAUUAGAUACCCUGGUAGUCCACGCUGUAAACGAUGUCGAUUUGGAGGUUGUGCCCUUGAGGCGUGGCUUCCGGAGCUAACGCGUUAAAUCGACCGCCUGGGGAGUACGGCCGCAAGGUUAAAACUCAAAUGAAUUGACGGGGGCCCGCACAAGCGGUGGAGCAUGUGGUUUAAUUCGAUGCAACGCGAAGAACCUUACCUGGUCUUGACAUCCACAGAACUUUCCAGAGAUGGAUUGGUGCCUUCGGGAACUGUGAGACAGGUGCUGCAUGGCUGUCGUCAGCUCGUGUUGUGAAAUGUUGGGUUAAGUCCCGCAACGAGCGCAACCCUUAUCCUUUGUUGCCAGCGGUCCGGCCGGGAACUCAAAGGAGACUGCCAGUGAUAAACUGGAGGAAGGUGGGGAUGACGUCAAGUCAUCAUGGCCCUUACGACCAGGGCUACACACGUGCUACAAUGGCAUAUACAAAGAGAAGCGACCUCGCGAGAGCAAGCGGACCUCAUAAAGUAUGUCGUAGUCCGGAUUGGAGUCUGCAACUCGACUCCAUGAAGUCGGAAUCGCUAGUAAUCGUAGAUCAGAAUGCUACGGUGAAUACGUUCCCGGGCCU
RNAcentral lists this ribosomal RNA (1361 nucleotides) under uncultured bacterium. RNAcentral describes it as "bacterial SSU rRNA". It matches the Rfam family "Bacterial small subunit ribosomal RNA", at positions 28 to 1381 of the family's 1533-position model. The record is from RNAcentral.